UGCUUUUAUGAUGGGAUUUGUCUCUCUCUUAUUUUCAAAGAACGGAGACUAUCAAUAUUGAUGAAAUUGUUCAUCAUCAAGCAACAUCUUUGGCAUGCAACCGUGCUUGCAUUAAUCUUGUCAACCGAACCGUAUGUUCGUGAAUACUUGGCAUGUUCGUGAACGUGUUCUCACAUUUCUCAUUUUUGUCAUCAAGAAUAGUACGUAACUUUUUAAAAAAAAAAACUUUUGUUUGAUUCUCUACUAUAAAUUCCAAUCAAGCACAAUCAUAAAACAAUUAUAAACUAGUUCUUAUCUAUCUUUUGUAUAAACGUUUUUAGAUUACUUCUCCCAUAUAUAUUAUCAUGUAUCGAUCACUUCUCAAAGCAAAAAAAAAAUCUAUCUAUAAAAGGUAAAAUUUUCCCAAAAGUUUUUUUUUGGUAAAAAAAAAUGCCCAAGAGUUUAGCUACUAGUUUUGUAUUUUGUUGUUAUCAUUAGUUCAUAACGUUAGUGUAUUAUCACUUGUAAUCCAUAAAAUUUAUUUACAUUCUUUUAAAUUAUAUGAUAAAAAGUAAACAUAAGAAUUAGACAAUUGCAUUAAAAUCUCAUAAAAUACUACAAAAGUUAUUACUUGUGAAUUCUUUCAAAUUCCCGAAU
This 636-nucleotide long non-coding RNA is filed under the name Brassica napus (rape). RNAcentral describes it as "long non-coding RNA (BNAP_LNC016116)". The record is from RNAcentral. Lineage: Eukaryota; Viridiplantae; Streptophyta; Magnoliopsida; Brassicales; Brassicaceae.